GUUGGUGACUAUUGGCCUGGUGUUCACCUCUUCCCAUCCCGAACAGAGAAGUUAAGCCCAGAACCGCCGAUGAUACUUGG
Molecule: ribosomal RNA, 80 nt
Filed under: Dyadobacter arcticus
Lineage: Bacteria; Pseudomonadati; Bacteroidota; Cytophagia; Cytophagales; Spirosomataceae
Source: RNAcentral